UGCAAUCAUAAUAAGAACCACAAGGGUCGGUCCAGUCAUAAUAUCAGUUUGGAGAUGUCUGUGGGAAGCUCACCAGGGCCCAGGUAGGCUCCCUUCCUAGCAUGGAGCCCAACCUGGGGUCCUAGCCCAUGACCCUAAGACCAAGACCUGAGCCCAGAUCAAGUGUUGGAUGCUCAACAGCCCAGCUGUUGGAGCAAACCUACCAGCAAAAGUUCUCAGUACCCCACCAGAGCAGUGGUUGGUCAUUUCUGACCUAGCCCAGCCGGAUGAGACAAUGAGCUCAGUCAUCUCAGCUGGGCACCGGUGGGCCCAUGGGUCUUGUGUUAGAUGCCUGGGAUCCAGCAGGACUUUUCUCCAGGGAACUGAAUGAGUGCCGAGUCUAAUAACAAAAGUUACAG
RNAcentral lists this long non-coding RNA (398 nucleotides) under Mustela putorius furo (domestic ferret). Its description in RNAcentral is "lncRNA (ENSMPUG00000027063.1)". The record is from RNAcentral. Lineage: Eukaryota; Metazoa; Chordata; Mammalia; Carnivora; Mustelidae.